AUACAUCGGGGCCCUCCCCAUCUUUCCCCACAGGCGGGAGGGGGUGGGGAGGGGCAUUCUUG
This 62-nucleotide small RNA is filed under the name Sinorhizobium meliloti 2011. RNAcentral describes it as "putative ncRNA". The record is from RNAcentral. Lineage: Bacteria; Pseudomonadati; Pseudomonadota; Alphaproteobacteria; Hyphomicrobiales; Rhizobiaceae.